UGGAACAAGUUGGAUUGCUCCGAAUUUCAGUGCCUAUCGGGCAGCCAGUGAACAUUUGUCCAUCUUUAAGGCAUUAAACUGAGAAGAACCACUGAGGAAAGCAUGCCACAGUCUUUCCCAAAAUCCCUGUGUCUUAAGGAACAACCAAGAAGUUAACUGGUCAGGGAAAAGAUUUCUUUUGGAACACAGAAGCCAUCGCUGUGUGCGGAAAUCCAUGACCUGGCCAUGACUUCUACAACCCGGAGGACUUGCCUGGCAUUACCGAAAAGCACAGGGGAAAGAUUCUGUGGCAGAGAAUGAUGGGAGUUGUGAUCCAUACCUCCGUGUGCAUAAUGGUUGUACCUGCUCCAGGAAGGCGCUGGAUCCUCCCAACUCCAUGGGAAGAGAUUAGGACACAAACAACAGACAGAAGGUGACCACAGGAGGACACAGUGAGAAGCUGGCCAUCUGCAAGCCAAGGAGAGAGACCUCAGGAGAAACCAAACCUGCCAGCACCUUAAUCUUAGACUUCUAGCCCUCAGAACGGUGAGGAAAUAAAUCUCUGUUGUUCAUGCCACCCAGUCUGUGGUGUUUUGUUAUGGCCACUCUA
This 589-nucleotide long non-coding RNA is filed under the name Homo sapiens (human). Its description in RNAcentral is "HSALNT0360223". Lineage: Eukaryota; Metazoa; Chordata; Mammalia; Primates; Hominidae. The record is from RNAcentral.